Molecule: transfer RNA, 77 nt
Filed under: Candidatus Peregrinibacteria bacterium
Lineage: Bacteria; Candidatus Peregrinibacteriota
Description: tRNA-His
Rfam family: tRNA
About the family: Transfer RNA (tRNA) molecules are approximately 80 nucleotides in length. Their secondary structure includes four short double-helical elements and three loops (D, anti-codon, and T loops).
Source: RNAcentral
GUGUCCAUAGCUCAGUUGGUUAGAGCGCCGGGUUGUGGCUCCGGAGGUCGUGGGUUCGAACCCCAUUGGACACCCCA